RNAcentral lists this non-coding RNA (954 nucleotides) under Eleutherodactylus bothroboans. RNAcentral describes it as "12S ribosomal RNA". It matches the Rfam family "Bacterial small subunit ribosomal RNA". Lineage: Eukaryota; Metazoa; Chordata; Amphibia; Anura; Eleutherodactylidae. The record is from RNAcentral.
CACAAAGGCUUGGUCCCGACCUUAAAAUCAAUUAUUACUUAACCUACACAUGCAAGCCUCUACACCCCAGUGAAAAUGCCCCUAAAUUUUAUUAAAUUUUACGAGGAGCAGGUAUCAGGCACAACCCUUUGCCCAAAACACCUAGCUAUGCCACACCCACAAGGGUACUCAGCAGUGACUAACAUUGAACCUUUAAGCGACAGCUUGAUUCAGUUAAAGUAAAAAGAGCCGGCAAAUAAGGUGCCAGCCGCCGCGGCUAUACCAGUGGCUCAAAUUGAUAUUCAUCGGCGUAAAGCGUGAUUAAAGCCAACCAUAAAACUAGAGCUAAACUUAAACUAAACAGUUAAAUAUCUAUUUAAGUGAAACCCAAAUAACGAAAGUUGCUCUAUAUAUCAACUUGAACUCACGAAAGCUUGGACAUAAACUGGGAUUAGAUACCCCACUAUACCUUGCUGUAAACUUUUAAUUCACAUCCUAAUCGCCAGGGAACUACGAGCAGAGCUUAAAACCCAAAGGACUUGACGGUACCCCAUAUCACCCUAGAGGAGCCUGUCCUAUAAUCGAUAAUCCCCGUUUCACCUCACCACAUCUAGCUUUUUCAGCCUGUAUACUUCCGUCGUCAGCUUACCACGUGAGCGUAAUAUAGUUAGCUUAAUGUCCAUACUUUAAUUUGUAUCGUCAAUACGUCAGGUCAAAGUGCAGCAAAUGUUGUGGAAAGAGAUUGGCUACACUUUUUAGUUUAAAAAAAACAGAACACAUAAAUGAAAUUUUGUGUAAAGGUGGAUUUAGAAGUAAAAAGAAAUCAUAAUAUUCAUUUUAACAAAGCACUGGGGCGUGUACACACCGCCCGUCACCCUCCUCGAAAAAAUCAACUUCAGUACUUAACCAAUUUCUACUAUAGAGAGGAGGUAAGUCGUAACAUGGUAAGUGUACCGGAAGGUGUACUUGGAAUAU